AUUGAACGCUGGCGGCAGGCCUAACACAUGCAAGUCGAACGGUAACAGGAAACAGCUUGCUGUUUCGCUGACGAGUGGCGGACGGGUGAGUAAUGUCUGGGAAACUGCCUGAUGGAGGGGGAUAACUACUGGAAACGGUAGCUAAUACCGCAUAACGUCGCAAGACCAAAGAGGGGGACCCUCGGGCCUCUUGCCAUCGGAUGUGCCCAGAUGGGAUUAGCUUGUUGGUGGGGUAACGGCUCACCAAGGCGACGAUCCCUAGCUGGUCUGAGAGGAUGACCAGCCACACUGGAACUGAGACACGGUCCAGACUCCUACGGGAGGCAGCAGUGGGGAAUAUUGCACAAUGGGCGCAAGCCUGAUGCAGCCAUGCCGCGUGUAUGAAGAAGGCCUUCGGGUUGUAAAGUACUUUCAUCGGGGAGGAAGGGAGUAAAGUUAAUACCUUUGCUCAUUGACGUUACCCGCAGAAGAAGCACCGGCUAACUCCGUG
RNAcentral lists this ribosomal RNA (490 nucleotides) under uncultured bacterium. RNAcentral's name for it is "partial 16S ribosomal RNA". It matches the Rfam family "Bacterial small subunit ribosomal RNA", at positions 30 to 507 of the family's 1533-position model. The record is from RNAcentral.